GCAGCACUGUUAUUGGAGAAAGAGAGCCUUAUUGGAGGGGUUUCGAUACUCCAAUUUUCAAAUUGAAGGCAUGCAUUUGUGUAAGGGGAUGUUGGGAAGCUGUUCAUACCUUUCUUGUGUUGAAAAACCAGGGAGUGAGCUUUGGAAGGGUUGGGAGUAACCUUGACUUCAUCCUCUAAUGAUUAGCAUCUUGUUUGAACCAAUUUGGAGUUUGAAUCACCUUCACAUGGGAAUUUCAUGGUGAUCAAGUGAGUUUUCUGGUGGAUUAGGAUCUUGGUAACAUACUUUAGAGUAUUUUGGUAUUCCUCAAUGCCUUGAUUACCCCGUGGAUCAGCCGAAUUAGCCACAGCAGCCUCAAGAAAUCAGCUUCAGCGACAACUACAACAGCAGCCUUGGAGC
This is a long non-coding RNA of Ananas comosus (pineapple), 399 nucleotides long. RefSeq lists it as uncharacterized. The record is from RefSeq and is a predicted model, not a curated record. The transcript is spliced from 3 exons. NCBI's taxonomy places the organism in Eukaryota, Viridiplantae, Streptophyta, Magnoliopsida, Poales, Bromeliaceae.